UACGGGAGGCAGCAGUGGGGAAUAUUGCACAAUGGGCGAAAGCCUGAUGCAGUUAUGCCGCGUGUAUGAAGAAGGCCUUCGGGUUGUAAAGUACUUUCAGUCGUGAGGAAGGUGUUAAGGUUAAUAACCUUAGCAAUUGACGUUAGCGACAGAAGAAGCACCGGCUAACUCCGUGCCAGCAGCCGCGGUAAUACGGAGGGUGCGAGCGUUAAUCGGAAUUACUGGGCGUAAAGGGCACGCAGGCGGUUAAUUAAGUUGGAUGUGAAAUCCCCGGGCUUAACCUGGGAAUGGCAUUCAAGACUGGUUAGCUAGAGUCUUGUAGAGGGGGUAGAAUUCCAUGUGUAGCGGUGAAAUGCGUAGAGAUGUGGAGGAUACCGGUGGCGAAGGCGGCCCCUGGACAAGACUGACGCUCAUGUGCGAAAGCGUGGGGAGCAAACAGGGAUUAGAUACCCGU
This 454-nucleotide ribosomal RNA is filed under the name uncultured bacterium. RNAcentral describes it as "bacterial SSU rRNA". It matches the Rfam family "Bacterial small subunit ribosomal RNA", at positions 340 to 789 of the family's 1533-position model. The record is from RNAcentral.